AACAAUGAGGAAAGACACCCACGCUUCCCCUCACUGGGCUAGGAAGGAGAGCUUUGCGGGUUUAGACUGCAGUCUCCCCCGCCCAUAGCCACCUGUGUGCCGGCUCCGCAGACGAGGUCCCCCCAGCACCCUGGCAGGGACUGUACCAUCAACAGACAAAUGGCAGCCGACCAAGGAGGCGACUGGCGUGUGGAACAGGGAGAAAGAGGUUUUCAUGGAGAAAGAGGCAACGUUGACUAUACGUGUUUACUCAAAGCUUUUUUAU
This 265-nucleotide long non-coding RNA is filed under the name Homo sapiens (human). RNAcentral describes it as "HSALNT0122687". The record is from RNAcentral. Lineage: Eukaryota; Metazoa; Chordata; Mammalia; Primates; Hominidae.